GCCGGGAUAGCUCAGCUGGGAGAGCAACAGACUGAAGUCGAUAUGGCAUUCUGGAGGUCCCGUGUUCAAUCCACGGUCCUGGCA
Molecule: transfer RNA, 84 nt
Filed under: Panus rudis PR-1116 ss-1
Lineage: Eukaryota; Fungi; Basidiomycota; Agaricomycetes; Polyporales; Panaceae
Description: tRNA-Phe
Rfam family: tRNA
About the family: Transfer RNA (tRNA) molecules are approximately 80 nucleotides in length. Their secondary structure includes four short double-helical elements and three loops (D, anti-codon, and T loops). Further hydrogen bonds mediate the characteristic L-shaped molecular structure. tRNAs have two regions of fundamental functional importance: the anti-codon, which is responsible for specific mRNA codon recognition, and the 3' end, to which the tRNAs corresponding amino acid is attached (by aminoacyl-tRNA synthetases). tRNAs cope with the degeneracy of the genetic code in two manners: having more than one tRNA (with a specific anti-codon) for a particular amino acid; and 'wobble' base-pairing, i.e. permitting non-standard base-pairing at the 3rd anti-codon position.
Source: RNAcentral